RNAcentral lists this ribosomal RNA (307 nucleotides) under uncultured bacterium. Its description in RNAcentral is "bacterial SSU rRNA". It matches the Rfam family "Bacterial small subunit ribosomal RNA", at positions 28 to 334 of the family's 1533-position model. The record is from RNAcentral.
GAUGAACGCUAGCGGCAGGCCUAACACAUGCAAGUCGAGGGGUAACAGGAGUGCUUGCACUCGCUGACGACCGGCGCACGGGUGCGUAACGCGUAUACAAUCUACCUUGUACUGGGGGAUAGCCUUUAGAAAUGAAGAUUAACACCCCAUAGUAUUCAGAGUUCGCAUGGACAUUGAAUUAAAGGUUACGGUACAAGAUGAGUAUGCGUCCUAUUAGCUAGAUGGUGUGGUAACGGCACACCAUGGCAACGAUAGGUAGGGGCCCUGAGAGGGGGAUCCCCCACACUGGUACUGAGACACGGACCAG